RNAcentral lists this microRNA precursor (90 nucleotides) under Canis lupus familiaris (dog). RNAcentral describes it as "mir-8799 microRNA precursor family". It matches the Rfam family "mir-8799 microRNA precursor family". Lineage: Eukaryota; Metazoa; Chordata; Mammalia; Carnivora; Canidae. The record is from Rfam by way of RNAcentral.
CGGGGGAGGCGGGAUCCUGGGCUGUGUCCCCUGUGCCCUGUGCUCCGAGGCCUGCGCUGUUGAUUCGCGCUCCCGGGCGCGCAGCCCCCU